GAUGAACGCUGGCGGCGUGCCUAAUACAUGCAAGUCGAGCGAACAGACGAGGAGCUUGCUCCUCUGACGUUAGCGGCGGACGGGUGAGUAACACGUGGAUAACCUACCUAUAAGACUGGGAUAACUUCGGGAAACCGGAGCUAAUACCGGAUAAUAUAUUGAACCGCAUGGUUCAAUAGUGAAAGACGGUUUUGCUGUCACUUAUAGCUGGAUCCGCGCCGCAUUAGCUAGUUGGUAAGGUAACGGCUUACCAAGGCAACGAUGCGUAGCCGACCUGAGAGGGUGAUCGGCCACACUGGAACUGAGGCACGGUCCAGACUCCUACGGGAGGCAGCAGUAGGGAAUCUUCCGCAAUGGGCGAAAGCCUGACGGAGCAACGCCGCGUGAGUGAUGAAGGUCUUCGGAUCGUAAAACUCUGUUAUUAGGGAAGAACAAAUGUGUAAGUAACUAUGCACGUCUUGACGGUACCUAAUCAGAAAGCCACGGCUAACUACGUG
This 497-nucleotide ribosomal RNA is filed under the name uncultured bacterium. RNAcentral describes it as "partial 16S ribosomal RNA". It matches the Rfam family "Bacterial small subunit ribosomal RNA", at positions 28 to 507 of the family's 1533-position model. The record is from RNAcentral.